Molecule: non-coding RNA, 48 nt
Organism: Schistosoma mansoni
Lineage: Eukaryota; Metazoa; Platyhelminthes; Trematoda; Strigeidida; Schistosomatidae
Source: Rfam
AUCCAACUGAGGAGUCCCAAAUAGGACGAAAAGCGCUUCAAACUGGAU